AGGGGGUUAGUUAAAUAAUAACAUUAGUAUGUCAUGCUAAAUUUAUCAAAUUAUUGAUACCCCCUA
RNAcentral lists this transfer RNA (66 nucleotides) under Deleatidium vernale. Its description in RNAcentral is "tRNA-Asp". The record is from RNAcentral. Lineage: Eukaryota; Metazoa; Arthropoda; Insecta; Ephemeroptera; Leptophlebiidae.